CCAGACGCCUAGGCAAGAGCCCGCUGCGCCCCCUGCGCGCUCCUCCUGCUCGGAGCACGGCUCCUACCUGUAGAGUCCGGACGGGCGCUCCCUCCCCGGGCACCUACACCUUCUCCCCUUUCGGAAAUCUCCCGUCCAGCUACCCGGGUCUCGGACAGGCGGCACUGGGACCACGAGGCAGGGAGCCAGGCUUGAAGCAGGUGACAUGUAGACGUCCCCUGGUCCAGCCUCGGAACCUGAGCGCCCUUCUGCCUGGAAAGUUUGUGGCUAGGCGCCAUGGCCAAGAGCAGCUCCCUGAAUGUUCGCGUGGUGGAGGGCCGCGCGCUGCCUGCCAAGGACGUGUCUGGGAGCAGCGACCCCUACUGCCUAGUGAAAGUGGACGACGAGGUGGUGGCCAGGACAGCUACUGUCUGGAGGAGCCUGGGCCCCUUCUGGGGGGAGGAGUACACGGUGCACCUGCCUCUGGAUUUCCACCAGCUGGCCUUCUACGUGCUGGAUGAGGACACUGUCGGGUUUGUGGUUGGGGAAAGUGGAAUGUGUGGGUUAGGGACCCAAGCCUGGGCACCUGAGGGGAGAGGGGAUGUGGGUCCACAGCCCACGAGGGCGUGCCCUCCCACCCAGACCUUGACACCUGCCCCCACUUCUCUUGGGGCGGGGCAAAGGGGCCCCUGACUCAGACCUUCACGUGCCCGCCUUCCUGCAGGCACGACGACAUCAUCGGCAAGAUCUCGCUGAGCAGGGAGGCGAUUACAGCCGACCCCCGAGGGAUUGACAGCUGGAUUAACUUGAGCCGAGUGGACCCAGAUGCAGAAGUGCAGGGUGAGAUCUGCCUGUCAGUGCAGAUGCUGGAGGAUGGGCAGGGCCGCUGCCUUCGCUGCCAUGUGCUUCAGGCCAGGGACCUGGCUCCCAGAGACAUCUCUGGCACAUCUGACCCAUUUGCACGUGUGUUUUGGGGCAGCCAGAGCUUGGAGACCUCAACCAUCAAGAAGACUCGCUUCCCGCACUGGGAUGAAGUGCUGGAGCUGCGGGAGAUGCCAGGUGCCCCGUCCCCACUGCGGGUGGAGCUCUGGGACUGGGACAUGGUGGGCAAGAAUGACUUCUUGGGCAUGGUGGAGUUCUCUCCAAAGACCCUCCAGCAGAAGCCACCUAACGGCUGGUUCCGCCUCCUGCCCUUUCCCAGAGCCGAGGAGGAUUCUGGGGGGACCCUGGGUGCCCUGCGAGUGAAGGUACGCCUGAUUGAGGACCGCGUCCUGCCCUCCCAGUGCUACCAGCCUCUCAUGGAGCUGCUCAUGGAGUCUGUGCAGGGGCCAGCAGAGGAGGACACUGCUAGCCCCUUGGCUUUGCUGGAAGAGCUGACCUUGGGGGACUGCCGCCAGGACCUUGCCACCAAGCUGGUGAAACUCUUUCUUGGCCGGGGACUGGCUGGGCGCUUUCUGGACUAUCUCACCCGGCGUGAGGUGGCUCGGACCAUGGACCCCAACACCCUCUUCCGUUCUAACUCCCUGGCAUCCAAGUCGAUGGAACAGUUUAUGAAGCUCGUGGGCAUGCCCUACCUGCACGAGGUCCUGAAGCCUGUGAUUAGCCGCGUCUUUGAGGAGAAGAAGUACAUGGAGCUGGAUCCCUGCAAGAUGGACCUGGGCCGCACCCGGAUGUGAAGUACCUGGCCAUCAGCGGAUUUCUCUUCUUGCGAUUCUUCGCGCCUGCCAUCCUUACCCCAAAGCUGUUUGACCUUCGGGACCAACACGCGGACCCCCAGACUAGCCGCUCACUGCUGUUGCUUGCCAAGGCUGUGCAGAGCAUCGGAAACCUGGGCCAGCAGCUGGGCCAAGGCAAGGAACUGUGGAUGGCCCCCCUGCACCCCUUCCUGCUGCAGUGUGUCUCACGUGUGAGAGACUUCCUGGACCGGCUGGUGGAUGUGGAUGGGGAUGAAGAAGCUGGUGUCCCAGCCAGGGCCCUGUUCCCGCCCUCGGCCAUUGUUCGAGAAGGCUAUCUGCUGAAGCGCAAGGAGGAGCCUGCCGGCCUGGCCACGCGCUUUGCCUUCAAGAAGCGCUACGUCUGGCUCAGCGGGGAGACCCUCUCCUUCUCCAAGAGUCCUGAGUGGCAGAUGCGACACUCCAUCCCCGUGUCUCACAUCCGCGCCGUGGAGCGCGUAGACGAGGGCGCCUUCCAACUGCCCCACGUGAUGCAGGUGGUGACGCAGGACGGCACGGGGGCGCUGCACACCACCUACCUCCAGUGCAAGGUGAGACCCCACCGCGAUGGGGAGCGGGGGGCGUCCCUCUGUUCCCACCCGCCCCCUGAUCGCCUCCCACCCGCUGCAGAAUGUGAAUGAGCUCAACCAGUGGCUCUCGGCCUUGCGCAAGGCCAGCGCCCCCAACCCGAACAAGCUGGCCGCCUGCCACCCCGGUGCCUUCCGCAGCGCGCGCUGGACCUGCUGCCUCCAGGCUGAGCGCUCAGCCGCCGGCUGCAGCCGUACACACUCGGCUGUCACCCUGGGGGACUGGAGUGACCCACUGGAUCCUGAUGCUGAGGCCCAGACAGUGUAUCGGCAGCUGCUCCUGGGGCGGGACCAGCUCAGGCUGAAAUUGCUGGAGGAUUCUAACAUGGAUACAACUCUGGAGGCAGACACAGGGGCCUGUCCUGAGGUCCUGGCCCGGCAAAGAGCAGCAACUGCCCGCUUGCUGGAGGUGCUCGCAGACCUGGAUCGUGCCCACGAGGAGUUCCAGCAGCAAGAGCAAGGGAAGGCGGCCCUGGGCCCCCUUGGCCCCUAAGGAAAUGCCAGAGCUAGCCCGGAAGGAGGAGCAAGAGCCAG
Molecule: small RNA, 2812 nt
Filed under: Pan troglodytes (chimpanzee)
Lineage: Eukaryota; Metazoa; Chordata; Mammalia; Primates; Hominidae
Description: retained intron
Source: RNAcentral